UUGAUUUAAUUCAUGAGAAUGAGAUUUUAAUAUCAUGACUGAUAAUGGAUUACUGUAUAUUGCAACGCCUGGACAUACACAUGGUUUGGAUAUACUGAAGACAAAAGGAAUAAUAUAUGGGAAUGGAUAAGGCUGAUUUCCCCCUAUCCACAGCCACGCCUACUCCUAAAGUAACAUCGCGUACAUCCUUACUAUGCCCUUUUACUGUAGAAUUUCCCGAAUCCUAAUGACCCAUUCCACUACAUGGUGUGACUUGUUUAAGCCUAAGAUAAAUUGGCUGAUCAGGCUACCUGUAUUAACAAUGUCAUCAACGAUGAGUUAGCAUCUGUGGAGAAGCAUCACUUCAGGUUGUCCCAAAUUUUCUUUUAACUUAAGUUUUAGUACAUAGUAAGGCCCAUGCCCAAUAACUAUAUGCAGCCUUGUAUAGCAGGCCACAUGACAUCUAUUUGUACCAAGUAAGGCCUGCCUGACUCCUCAUUCCUGUCUAACAUUGUUGUCUCCUGCAUAAGUGUAGAUGGCUCUCCUUGGAGUAGCCUGUUAACUAAGCCUUGCUUUGUGGAUACCUUCACCUGUCCAAUUAAUCUGCUAGGUGCAGAUGUCCUUCCCCCACUUGCAGGCCCCUAUCACCUUAUUAUUUAUUUUGUUCCACACAGUGAAACCUGACCAAGAGGCAAGGGUCCUAGCUAGUUCCCCCAAUACCUUUACCUGAAUUAUACAGGCCCCAAAGCCUGUCCAAGCUCUUACUAUUCCCUAACAGGUUAAGGCUCUGGUGUCGAAUGUUGCCCUGGUUACCUGAGACUUUCCAUGCAAUAUCCCACCUCUCCUUGUGAUGGACGAAUUCUGUGCAGGAUAAUGUCACCCUGCAGGGAUGAUACUCUAUUUACCUGGCCACUCUUCUGCCACUUCCCAAGGGGGGAAAUGAUAAGACACUGACUAUUAUUUUUUUUUUAGCCUUUUUCUUAUGUUCUGUUCCGGAUUUGCUGUCACUACAGUGGACCAAGUAUCUCACCUCAACAAUGUCUGCACAAGAAGCUGAGCUAUAGACUCCCAUCACACCAUGCAAGAUCUCUGAAGGAAGACUGAACUCAGAG
This 1091-nucleotide long non-coding RNA is filed under the name Pelobates cultripes (western spadefoot toad). The record is from RNAcentral. Lineage: Eukaryota; Metazoa; Chordata; Amphibia; Anura; Pelobatidae.